Molecule: ribosomal RNA, 292 nt
Filed under: uncultured bacterium
Lineage: Bacteria
Description: partial 16S ribosomal RNA
Rfam family: Bacterial small subunit ribosomal RNA
Source: RNAcentral
GUGUCAGCAGCCGCGGUAAUACGUGGGGUGCAAGCGUUGUUCGGAAUUACUGGGCGUAAAGCGCGUGUAGGCGGCCCAUUAUGUCAGGUGUGAAAGCCCUCGGCCUAACCGAGGAAGUGCGCCUGAAACUGAUAGGCUUGAGUACGAGAGAGGAGGACGGAAUUCCCAGUGUAGAGGUGAAAUUCGUAGAUAUUGGGAGGAACACCGGCGGCGAAAGCGGUUCUCUGGAUCGAUACUGACGCUAAGACGCGAAAGCGUGGGGAGCAAACAGGAUUAGAAACCCUUGUAGUCC